RNAcentral lists this ribosomal RNA (555 nucleotides) under uncultured bacterium. RNAcentral's name for it is "bacterial SSU rRNA". It matches the Rfam family "Bacterial small subunit ribosomal RNA", at positions 338 to 916 of the family's 1533-position model. The record is from RNAcentral.
CCUACGGGAGGCAGCAGUGGGGAAUAUUGGACAAUGGGCGAAAGUCUGAUCCAGCAAUGCCGCGUGAGUGAUGAAGGCCUUAGAGUUGUAAAGCUCUUUUACCCGGGAUGAUAAUGACAGUACCGGGAGAAUAAGCCCCGGCUAACUCCGUGCCAGCAGCCGCGGUAAUACGGAGGGGGCUAGCGUUGUUCGGAAUUACUGGGCGUAAAGCGCACGUAGGCGGCUUUGUAAGUUAGAGGUGAAAGCCUGGAGCUCAACUCCAGAAUUGCCUUUAAGACUGCAUCGCUUGAAUCCAGGAGAGGUGAGUGGAAUUCCGAGUGUAGAGGUGAAAUUCGUAGAUAUUCGGAAGAACACCAGUGGCGAAGGCGGCUCACUGGACUGGUAUUGACGCUGAGGUGCGAAAGCGUGGGGAGCAACAGGAUUAGAUACCCUGGUAGUCCACGCCGUAAACGAUGAUAACUAGCUGUCCGGGGACUUGGUCUUUGGGUGGCGCAGCUAACGCAUUAAGUUAUCCGCCUGGGAGUACGGCCGCAGGUUAAACUUAAGGAUUGACGG